UGUCAUUGUCUAUAUGUCUCUUUGAAGUUUGUGAUAGACUGCCUAAUGGAUAAAUUGCCCUAUGUUAAUUUGUGUAACUAAUUACUGCUGGUGUUUAGAAAACAGGAAGUUACAUCAAAAGCCUAUUGUUUACCCAGGACUACAUGGUCAAGUGUAUGCUAGAACACUGUAUAAAAAGAUCCCUAUGUCCCGAUUCUGUCAUCUCAGAUCUGCUUGAGGCUUCAUACAGGGGAAGCUUAAGCCAUAAGCACUGAGAUCCCAGUCCUAAGCUGGAACACUCUGCAAUGACAUUGGACAUUGGACUAUAACCUAUGAAAUAUUUCUGAAAGAACUCUUUGCAACUACAAAGCUCACCAUCUCUGCUAUGAAUCUGAACUUCAGUGAAUUGAACUCAUGUUUAUGUGCCCUGAAGGGGAACCCCUUAUAUACUGUCUGAGUGCCUCUGUCCGAUAAGAAAGUGACCCAGGAGGAGUAAGGAGGACAUGUUUAGGGAGGUGCUCCAAUUGUAUGAUGCUGCAGAUCAUCAUCACAGGGCACGGAGAGAGACAAUUACGAAAAAUUGAAAAUAGAUAGCCUGGAGAGGAAGCAAGACCAGGAGCAUAUUUUAGUGGGCCAGGAGCAAAUGAUAACAUUAAUGGAGGACCAAACAGAGAUGCUGAAGUCCCUGAUUGCACUGCAGUCAGAACACAUGCAGCCCAUCCAGAACUGCGUGCCAUGUCCUCCCCAAGCUCCCCACCCGCAGUCCUUGCGUGUUCUCGGCCCGUCACAGUACCCCUUUCACUCCACCGUAAUUACAGCUGCACUUACACACAGCUAUGAGCACUUCCAUUAAGAGAGUGCUCCUCAGUGUCAUGUCCCUUAUAAGACAUCAAAUGCUGUGUAUUGGUUAUUGCUGUUUAAUAAAAAUGUACUUAUAGAAAGAAAA
Malaclemys terrapin pileata is the source of this 925-nucleotide long non-coding RNA. RefSeq lists it as uncharacterized. The transcript has 2 exons. Lineage: Eukaryota; Metazoa; Chordata; Testudines; Emydidae. The record is from RefSeq and is a predicted model, not a curated record.